UGCGGUCGAACGGUGGAGCCCAGCUUGCUGGGUGGAUCAGUGGCGAACGGGUGAGUAACACGUGAGCAGUCUGCCCCUGACUCUGGGAUAAGCGCUGGAAACGGCGUCUAAUACUGGAUAUGAGCUGCGAUCGCAUGGUCAGUAGCUGGAAAGAUUUUUUGGUCAGGGAUGAGCUCGCGGCCUAUCAUCUUGUUGGUGAGGUAAUGGCUCACCAAGGCGUCGACGGGUAGCCGGCCUGAGAGGGUGACCGGCCACACUGGGACUGAGACACGGCCCAGACUCCUACGGGAGGCAGCAGUGGGGAAUAUUGCACAAUGGGCGCAAGCCUGAUGCAGCAACGCCGCGUGAGGGAUGACGGCCUUCGGGUUGUAAACCUCUUUUAGCAGGGAAGAAGCGAAAGUGACGGUACCUGCGGAAAAAGCGCCGGCUAACUACGUGCCAGCAGCCGCGGUAAUACGUAUGGCGCAGGCGUUAUCCGGAAUUAUUGGGCGUAAAGAGCUCGUAGGCGGUUUGUCGCGUCUGCUGUGAAAUCCCGAGGCUCAACCUCGGGUCUGCAGUGGGUACGGGCAGACUAUAGUGCGGUAGGGGAGAUUGGAAUUCCUGGUGUACCGGUGGAAUGCGCAGAUAUGAAGAGGAACACCGAUUGCGAACGCUGAUCUCUGGGCCGUAACUGACGCUGAGGAGCGAAAGGGUGGGGAGCAAACACGCUUAGAUACCCUGGUAGUCCACCCCGUAUACGUUGGGAACUAGUUGUGGGGUCCAUUCCACGGAUUCCGUGACGCAGCUACGCAAUCAGAUCCCCCGCCCUGGGGAGUACGUCGGCACGU
This 827-nucleotide ribosomal RNA is filed under the name Microbacterium sp. RNAcentral describes it as "bacterial SSU rRNA". It matches the Rfam family "Bacterial small subunit ribosomal RNA", at positions 56 to 894 of the family's 1533-position model. Lineage: Bacteria; Bacillati; Actinomycetota; Actinomycetes; Micrococcales; Microbacteriaceae. The record is from RNAcentral.